This 89-nucleotide transfer RNA is filed under the name Acholeplasmataceae bacterium. RNAcentral describes it as "tRNA-Ser". It matches the Rfam family "tRNA". From Rfam's summary of the family: Transfer RNA (tRNA) molecules are approximately 80 nucleotides in length. The record is from RNAcentral. Lineage: Bacteria; Bacillati; Mycoplasmatota; Mollicutes; Acholeplasmatales; Acholeplasmataceae.
GGAGAGAUACCCAAGAGGCUGAAGGGGCUGGCUUGGAAAGCUAGUAGAAUCGAAAGAUUGCGGGGGUUCAAAUCCCCCUCUCUCCGCCA